RNAcentral lists this ribosomal RNA (549 nucleotides) under Gammaproteobacteria bacterium. Its description in RNAcentral is "bacterial SSU rRNA". It matches the Rfam family "Bacterial small subunit ribosomal RNA", at positions 1 to 567 of the family's 1533-position model. The record is from RNAcentral. Lineage: Bacteria; Pseudomonadati; Pseudomonadota; Gammaproteobacteria.
UAAUUGAAGAGUUUGAUCCUGGCUCAGAUUGAACGCUGGCGGCAUGCCUAACACAUGCAAGUCGAACGAGAACGUCCUCUUCGGAGGGCUAUUAAAGUGGCGGACGGGUGAGUAAUGCUUGGGAAUCUACCCAACAGUGGGGAAUAACCCGAGGAAACUCGGGCUAAUACCGCAUACGUUCCACGGAAGAAAGGGGGCCUCUUCAUGAAUGCUCUCGCUGAUGGAUGAGCCCAAGUCGGAUUAGCUGGUUCGUGAGGUAACGGCUCACGAAGGCAACGAUCCGUAGCUGGUCUGAGAGGAUGAUCAGCCACACUGGGACUGAGACACGGCCCAGACUCCUACGGGAGGCAGCAGUGGGGAAUAUUGGACAAUGGGCGAAAGCCUGAUCCAGCAAUGCCGCGUGUGUGCCGAAGGCCUUAGGGUUGUAAAGCACUUUCGCCCGCGAGGAUGAUGACGGUAGCGGGAGAAGAAGCCCCGGCUAACUCCGUGCCAGCAGCCGCGGUAAUACGGAGGGGGCGAGCGUUGUUCGGAAUUACUGGGCGUAAAGGG